ACAACUUCCUGUUUGGAUUUCUUUUGACACAGUGUGAUUGGCCUCCACUGUGCCCCUCUGUCUUGCUGACCCAUUUCCAGCAUCAGCACAUGCAGGGGGGCCCCAGAAAGAGGCCACCCCGACGCUUGUGGAUCUGCCUCUCCACUAAGCGUCAGGCAGCUCACAAUACAACUCUGUUCCGGCUCCAGCUGGACGCGCCUCCUCCUGCACGGUCCCAGAAGAUCCUUCUUUCCUCCUGGUCCAUGGCCUAAAAUACUUGAAGGCCCAGAUGUGGAAAACAGACUCACUGGACCACAACAGCAUUUUUCUUCCUUCUUCAAAAGAACUUGCAUUCAACACAUGAACUCACAAUGUUGAAAUGUGUUGGAGGUCAAUAUUAGAAAAAUGCUUUGUUAAUGUUUAUUCCAGACACAGCUUUCUUGUUUUCUGACAUGCAAAGUAUUUCCUGUGAUCAGGAGCAGAUCUCCACUCGUACAUCCUGCGUAGGCGAUCGGUCCCUGCAGUCUACAAAUGAGGUUCAUAAGGUCAUAUGGACUGGGAUCAUGACACACACACACACAGUCUCGCCUAAAAUGAAGUUCUACCACAUUGUGCUUUCUAUAUGUGGGUCAACCACAGUUUUUAAAAAUAGAAAGUAGGGAAGAAUGAAGAGAAAGGUGGACAGGGAAGUCGAUGAGAUGAACAAAUACAAGAACAAAAUGUUUCACCAGCUGGUCAGAGUCCAGGCAGUAAAAUCAGAUGGUGUAUUAUUUUAAAUGCCAUAGUCUGUGUGAUAUGUUUUAAUAAUUCAGCUUCAGGACAGCAUUCUG
Molecule: long non-coding RNA, 809 nt
Organism: Syngnathus acus (greater pipefish)
Lineage: Eukaryota; Metazoa; Chordata; Actinopteri; Syngnathiformes; Syngnathidae
Exons: 2
Source: RefSeq, a predicted model, not a curated record